UCCUACGGGGGGCAGCAGUGGGGAAUAUUGCACAAUGGGGGAAACCCUGAUGCAGCAACGCCGCGUGAAGGAAGACGGUUUUCGGAUUGUAAACUUCUGUUCUUAGUGAAGAAGAAUGACGGUAGCUAAGGAGCAAGCCACGGCUAACUACGUGCCAGCAGCCGCGGUAAUACGUAGGUGGCAAGCGUUGUCCGGAAUUACUGGGUGUAAAGGGAGUGUAGACGGCGGUGCAAGCCAGAUGUGAAAGCCCGGGGCUCAACCCCGGGACUGCAUUUGGAACUGUGCUGCUAGAGUGUCGGAGAGGC
RNAcentral lists this ribosomal RNA (305 nucleotides) under uncultured bacterium. Its description in RNAcentral is "bacterial SSU rRNA". It matches the Rfam family "Bacterial small subunit ribosomal RNA", at positions 337 to 658 of the family's 1533-position model. The record is from RNAcentral.